UUUUGUUCCUCUUCCUAGGAACUUAUUGAUUACAGUUGGGGAGAACCUUACACACCUUCCUCUCACAAACACCUUGCAAAAUUCUUUGAUGUUAUUGUCAGAAAUAUCCUCAGGGAUGUUCACCACAAACUCCUUCACAAGACCUUCAAAACAUUGGGGUAAUGCACUAACUGUUUUCAUCAAACCAGCAGACUUGAUCAACUC
This 204-nucleotide long non-coding RNA is filed under the name Lathyrus oleraceus (garden pea). RNAcentral's name for it is "Pisum sativum (pea) long non-coding RNA (PSAT_LNC027903)". Lineage: Eukaryota; Viridiplantae; Streptophyta; Magnoliopsida; Fabales; Fabaceae. The record is from RNAcentral.